UACGAAGGGGGCUAGCGUUGCUCGGAAUUACUGGGCGUAAAGCGCACGUAGGCGGCUUUCUAAGUCGGGGGUGAAAUCCUGGAGCUCAACUCCAGAACUGCCUUCGAUACUGGAGAGCUCGAGUCCGGGAGAGGGUAGUGGAAUUCCCGGUGUAGUGGUGAAAUGCGUAGAUAUCGGGAGGAACACCAGUGGCGAAGGCGACUACCUGGCCUGUUCUUGACGCUGAGGCGCGAAAGCUGGGGGAGCAAACGGG
Molecule: ribosomal RNA, 253 nt
Filed under: uncultured bacterium
Lineage: Bacteria
Description: partial 16S ribosomal RNA
Rfam family: Bacterial small subunit ribosomal RNA
Source: RNAcentral